UACAGAGGUCUCAAGCGUUGUCCGGAAUGACUGGGCGUAAAGGGUGUGUAGGCGGUUUAUUAAGUUAGAAGUGAAAUACCUAGGGCUUAACCCAGGUGCUGCUUCUAAAACUGAUAGACUUGAGUGCAGUAGAGGAAAGUGGAAUUCCUAGUGUAGCGGUGGAAUGCGUAGAUAUUAGGAGGAACAUCAGUGGCGAAGGCGACUUUCUGGACUGUAACUGACGCUGAGGCACGAAAGUGUGGGGAGCAAACAGG
This 254-nucleotide ribosomal RNA is filed under the name uncultured Eubacteriales bacterium. RNAcentral's name for it is "uncultured Clostridiales bacterium partial 16S ribosomal RNA". It matches the Rfam family "Bacterial small subunit ribosomal RNA", at positions 524 to 776 of the family's 1533-position model. Lineage: Bacteria; Bacillati; Bacillota; Clostridia; Eubacteriales. The record is from RNAcentral.